RNAcentral lists this ribosomal RNA (849 nucleotides) under uncultured organism. Its description in RNAcentral is "bacterial SSU rRNA". It matches the Rfam family "Bacterial small subunit ribosomal RNA", at positions 13 to 859 of the family's 1533-position model. The record is from RNAcentral.
UNGAUCCUGGCCAGAGUGACGCUAGCGGCGUGGUUAGACAUGCACGCGAACGAUGAAGCCAGCUUGCUGGGCGGAUUAGUGGCAUACGGGUGCGUAACACGUGAGCAACCUGCCUUGAAGUGGGGAAUAGCCCGGGGAAACCCGGAUUAAUACCGCAUGUGGUCUCUUUUCGCAUGAAAAGACGACUAAAGUUUGUAAUGACUCUUCAAGAGGGGCUCGCGGCCUAUCAGCUUGUAGGUGAGGUAAAGGCUCACCAAGGCAAAGACGGGUAGCUGGUCUGAGAGGAUGAUCAGCCACACUGGAACUGAGAUACGGUCCAGACACCUACGGGUGGCAGCAGUUUCGAAUCAUUCACAAUGGGGGAAACCCUGAUGGUGCAACGCCGCGUGGAGGAUGACGGCCUUCGGGUUGUAAACUCCUGUCACCAAGGAACAAACGGCAGGUUCAUAGCCUGUCCUGAGUUAACUUGGAGAGGAAGAGGUGGCUAACUCCGUGCCAGCAGCCGCGGUAAUACGGAGACCUCGAGCGUUACUCGGAUUCACUGGGCGUAAAGAGUAUGUAGGCGGUUUGGUAUGUCAGGUGUGAAAGCCCGAAGCUCAACUUCGGAAUUGCGCCUGAAACUACCGGACUUGAGGCCUGGAGAGGGGAGUGGAAUUCCUGGUGUAGCGGUGAAAUGCGUAGAUAUCAGGAGGAACACCAAUGGCGAAGGCAGCUCCCUGGACAAGGGUUCUGACGCUGAGAUACGAAAGCGUGGGUAGCGAAAGGGAUUAGAUACCCCUGUAGUCCACGCCGGAGACGUUGUACACUAAGUUUCGGAAGGGCUAACCCUUCGGAGCUCAAGCUAACGCG